This 301-nucleotide ribosomal RNA is filed under the name uncultured bacterium. Its description in RNAcentral is "partial 16S ribosomal RNA". It matches the Rfam family "Bacterial small subunit ribosomal RNA", at positions 509 to 808 of the family's 1533-position model. The record is from RNAcentral.
CAGUCGCCGCGGUAAUACGUAGGUGGCGAGCGUUGUCCGGAUUUAUUGGGCGUAAAGGGAGUGUAGGCGGUCUUUUAAGUCUGAUGUGAAAGCCCACGGCUCAACCGUGGAGGGUCAUUGGAAACUGGGAGACUUAGAGUGCAGAAGAGGAGAGUGGAAUUCCAUGUGUAGCGGUGAAAUGCGCAGAUAUAUGGAGGAACACCAGUGGCGAAGGCGACUCUCUGGUCUGUAACUGACGCUGAGGCGCGAAAGCGUGGGGAGCAAACAGGAUUAGAUACCCCGGUAGUCCCUGUCUCUUAUA